This is a non-coding RNA of Oreochromis niloticus (Nile tilapia), 1138 nucleotides long. The record is from the annotation of a RefSeq genome assembly. NCBI's taxonomy places the organism in Eukaryota, Metazoa, Chordata, Actinopteri, Cichliformes, Cichlidae.
UCAGCGGGAAACAUCUGUGCAGAGUCUCUGACAGUGAGAUUAAUCAUAAUGAUGAUGAUGUUGCUGACUCCACUGCUGACCACAAUCAUGCUCAGACUUCAAGGAUCAGAUGCCAGUUCAUCUGUGACUCAGUCUCCUGUGUUUAAGGCUGCUGCUUUGGGGCAGACGGUCUCUCUGAGCUGUACAGUCAGUAAAGGAGUUGAUGAUGAUCUCAGCUGGUAUCUACAGAAACCUGGACAGCCUCCCAAACUGCUGUUUUACCAAAUCAGCAGCCGUGAAUCUGAUACUCCGAGUCAUUUCAGUAGCAGUGGAUCUGAGCCUGAGUUCACUCUGACAAUCAAUGGAGUUCAGGCUGCAGAUGCAGGAGAUUACUACUGUAUGGGAGUGUAUGGUGGCCCAGUGUUCACACACUGAUACAGAGUCGUACAAUAACCUCCCUCAGUUACUGUUUGCAGUGUUGCAGCUGUGAGCUUCUGAUACAGACUCUGACAUGCAUCACUGGUUCACUGAGUCCACUUUUCACUAAUAGGUCACAUUAUUAAGAAGAUGAUGUGACACUGUUUAGAAUUUGUAGCAUACUAUGCUUAUCUCACUACAUUUUGUAUUACUUCUAAUUUGCUGUGUAUAAUAAGUUAAUAUAAAAAUCAUUUUGUUUGUACAGUUCAUAUUAAAUCACAAAGUUAUAAGGUGUGUUAUAUUUUAAAUAAAAUCAAGUUAUAUGAAAUAAGUUUUCAUAUCACGAUAUACCACACAUAAAUACAUAUUUGGUGGUGACAACAAAGUGACAACAAAGGCCAAAAAUAAAAAGCCAAAUGAUCAGGAUAACUUAAACAAAAAGAAAAUGCAGAAAAAUUUAUUUGUUACAGCCUCAAAAGACUUAAAACAGAAAAGGAUCAGAUGAUUGGAGAAACUGACUGCAAUAACAAGCUGGUAGCAGUGCGGCCUGACAAUGAAAGGCUUUAAAUUUGAUUAAUAACAUUUUAAAAUGAAUUCUACAAUUUGCUGGAAGCCCACAAAGGGAGGCAAAAAAAGAUAUGGUCUUCUGGACUAACUGAAGACUUGGAUGGAGAGGACUGUGUACAUGAAAGUGAGUUACAGUAUAGAGAAGAGAACUAAAAUGUGCAUUAUGCUCUAAAUU